Drosophila ananassae is the source of this 459-nucleotide long non-coding RNA. RefSeq lists it as uncharacterized. NCBI's taxonomy places the organism in Eukaryota, Metazoa, Arthropoda, Insecta, Diptera, Drosophilidae. The transcript is spliced from 2 exons. The record is from RefSeq and is a predicted model, not a curated record.
UUUUAAUCCUCCUGGCACACGUUUAUCACUUAUCGUAAUCUUGUAAUUACGUGUGUUCCACAAAUGUUAAUUGCAAAAAGGGAUACAUCGAUAGUCUAAAGGCAUUCCUGGCUACUGGUUAUCUUUAAUGGCUUGUACGUAUUCGAAUUUGGCGGCCACAACCACCACGAAAUAGACUUCCAUUACUGGAAGAGGAGUACUUAUAUAGGAGAAACAUUAGGGAGAGCUACUUACCCAGGACACAAAAGAACACCAUCACCAGAAUCCAACGCAUAUAGACAAAGGCCAGUGCCAGGACCACCACUGCAUAGACUACACACACGAAGACCGCCUUCAGCAGCCAGACUCCCACAGCCAUCACUCCCAACUAUCCAGAACUAAGGAUUAGAUACCUAUUUUAAAGAACUAAUAACUCCUCUCACAUUAAAGUGCUUGGUUCCAAUAAUAAUGAAGCAGUCU